RNAcentral lists this ribosomal RNA (257 nucleotides) under uncultured bacterium. RNAcentral's name for it is "partial 16S ribosomal RNA". It matches the Rfam family "Bacterial small subunit ribosomal RNA", at positions 524 to 776 of the family's 1533-position model. The record is from RNAcentral.
UACGGAGGGUGCAAGCGUUAUCCGGAUUCACUGGGUUUAAAGGGUGCGUAGGUGGGUCUGAAAGUCAGUGGUGAAAUCUCCGGGCUUAACCUGGAAACUGCCAUUGAUACUUCAGGUCUUGAAUUUUCUGGAGGUUAGCGGAUAUGUCAUGUAGCGGUGAAAUGCUUAGAUAUGACAUAGAACACCAAAUUGCGAAGGCAGCUAACGUACGGGGAUAUUGACACUGGAGGCACGGAAAGCGUGGGGAGUCAAACAGG